CCAAGGGCCAGGUGCAGCCAAGAAAGACAGAUGGGUUCAGAGCACAUUUCCAGUUACAGGGAACAGAGCACAGGCCUCCAAGUGGCCACAGAGCAGCAUGCGAAUUGCAGUGAUGGGUAGAGUAAAACCUCUGCGGGGAGCACAGUAUUCCCGGCAAACACAGGGAACUACAGGCCCCAGGCUGUAGAAUACACCCAAGCAUCAGGCACUUGUCUGGUAAACAGUGUGUAAGAUCAGUUACCUUGAGAGGGCCCUCGGGGCUCCAGAUGUGUGGUUUGUGUGGGACAUGGCUACCACUCAUUAUCUUCGGAGGAAAGCAGGGCUCGGGGCUGGCACACAAUGUACAGAUGCACACAGGCCACCCAGAAAGUCACUGUGUACAAACAUCACUUUGUUCAACGUGGAUUUUGUUUUUAUGGAAGCCAAAUGCAGACCCUGACAUUUACAAACAGCCUU
Long non-coding RNA from Cebus imitator (Panamanian white-faced capuchin), 456 nucleotides. RefSeq lists it as uncharacterized. The transcript has 3 exons. NCBI's taxonomy places the organism in Eukaryota, Metazoa, Chordata, Mammalia, Primates, Cebidae. The record is from RefSeq and is a predicted model, not a curated record.